UGGCCUUGGCGGCGUGCUUACACAUGCAGUCGAACGGUGAAGCCAAGCUUGCUUGGUGGAUCAGUGGCGAACGGGUGAGUAACACGUGAGCAACCUGCCCUGGACUCUGGGAUAAGCGCUGGAAACGGCGUCUAAUACUGGAUAUGAGACGUGAUCGCAUGGUCGUGUUUGGAAAGAUUUUUCGGUCUGGGAUGGGCUCGCGGCCUAUCAGCUUGUUGGUGAGGUAAUGGCUCACCAAGGCGUCGACGGGUAGCCGGCCUGAGAGGGUGACCGGCCACACUGGGACUGAGACACGGCCCAGACUCCUACGGGAGGCAGCAGUGGGGAAUAUUGCACAAUGGGCGAAAGCCUGAUGCAGCAACGCCGCGUGAGGGAUGACGGCCUUCGGGUUGUAAACCUCUUUUAGCAGGGAAGAAGCGAAAGUGACGGUACCUGCAGAAAAAGCGCCGGCUAACUACGUGCCAGCAGCCGCGGUAAUACGUAGGGCGCAAGCGUUAUCCGGAAUUAUUGGGCGUAAAGAGCUCGUAGGCGGUUUGUCGCGUCUGCUGUGAAAUCCCGAGGCUCAACCUCGGGCCUGCAGUGGGUACGGGCAGACUAGAGUGCGGUAGGGGAGAUUGGAAUUCCUGGUGUAGCGGUGGAAUGCGCAGAUAUCAGGAGGAACACCGAUGGCGAAGGCAGAUCUCUGGGCCGUAACUGACGCUGAGGAGCGAAAGGGUGGGGAGCAAACAGGCUUAGAUACCCUGGUAGUCCACCCCGUAAACGUUGGGAACUAGUUGUGGGGACCAUUCCACGGUUUCCGUGACGCAGCUAACGCAUUAAGUUCCCCGCCUGGGGAGUACGGCCGCAAGGCUAAAACUCAAAGGAAUUGACGGGGACCCGCACAAGCGGCGGAGCAUGCGGAUUAAUUCGAUGCAACGCGAAGAACCUUACCAAGGC
This 936-nucleotide ribosomal RNA is filed under the name Microbacterium sp. HBUM178448. RNAcentral describes it as "bacterial SSU rRNA". It matches the Rfam family "Bacterial small subunit ribosomal RNA", at positions 31 to 980 of the family's 1533-position model. Lineage: Bacteria; Bacillati; Actinomycetota; Actinomycetes; Micrococcales; Microbacteriaceae. The record is from RNAcentral.